Molecule: non-coding RNA, 32 nt
Filed under: Rattus norvegicus (Norway rat)
Lineage: Eukaryota; Metazoa; Chordata; Mammalia; Rodentia; Muridae
Source: RNAcentral
UUAAAUUUUAGCAAACUCUGCUUAGGAUUGAU